RNAcentral lists this ribosomal RNA (429 nucleotides) under Bacteroidota bacterium. Its description in RNAcentral is "Bacteroidetes bacterium partial 16S ribosomal RNA". It matches the Rfam family "Bacterial small subunit ribosomal RNA", at positions 355 to 776 of the family's 1533-position model. RNAcentral also lists the same sequence under 1 other name. Lineage: Bacteria; Pseudomonadati; Bacteroidota. The record is from RNAcentral.
UAGGGAAUCUUCGGCAAUGGGGGGAACCCUGACCGAGCAACGCCGCGUGAGUGAAGAAGGUUUUCGGAUCGUAAAGCUCUGUUGUUAAGGAAGAACGAGUGUGAGAAUGGAAAGUUCAUGCUGUGACGGUACUUAACCAGAAAGGGAUGGCUAACUACGUGCCAGCAGCCGCGGUAAUACGUAGGUCCCGAGCGUUGUCCGGAUUUAUUGGGCGUAAAGCGAGCGCAGGCGGUUAGAAAAGUCUGAAGUGAAAGGCAGUGGCUCAACCAUUGUAGGCUUUGGAAACUGUUUAACUUGAGUGCAGAAGGGGAGAGUGGAAUUCCAUGUGUAGCGGUGAAAUGCGUAGAUAUAUGGAGGAACACCGGUGGCGAAAGCGGCUCUCUGGUCUGUAACUGACGCUGAGGCUCGAAAGCGUGGGGAGCGAACAGG